UACGUAGGCAGCGAGCGUUGUUCGGAGUUACUGGGCGUAAAGCGUGCGUAGGCGGUGCUCUAAGUCUGUUGUGAAAUCUCCCGGCUUAACUGGGAGGGUGCGGCGGAAACUGGGGUGCUGGAGUGCGGGAGAGGUAAGCGGAAUUCCCGGUGUGAGCGGUGGAAAUGACGUAGAGUAUCGGGAGGAACACCUGCGGUGUAGACGGCUUACUGGACCGUAACUGACGCUGAGGCACGAAAGCGUGGGGAGCAAACAGG
RNAcentral lists this ribosomal RNA (257 nucleotides) under uncultured bacterium. RNAcentral describes it as "partial 16S ribosomal RNA". It matches the Rfam family "Bacterial small subunit ribosomal RNA", at positions 524 to 776 of the family's 1533-position model. The record is from RNAcentral.